AAAGUGCGAUAAGUCAUGUGAAUUGCAGAUUGUGAAUCAUCGAAUCUUUGAACGCAAAUGGCGCCUGCGGGCCUAAUCCCGGAGGCAUGUCUGGCUGAGUGUCGGUUUCAUUAUCUCACAUCCCUCCUAUAUAUUACUAGGAGUGUGUGUGGGUGUAGUGGGAACGCUCUUUUCUCUUGUAGAAGAGACGGUCCUGAAGACCAGCGAGUAGGAGGCGUGCUCACUGCUUUGUGUAUAUGCUUCAAACGUGGUGUCUCUCAUAUUAAUACUAUAUUGAUGUGGAAACAAAAAAAGAUCGUUUGGAACACUAUAUACAUAUAAAAAAAGGCGGGAACGAGGCGUCUCUGAAGGAAAAAACACAACUAUUUUAAACCAUCGACAUCAGCUCAGGCAAGAGUAC
RNAcentral lists this unclassified non-coding RNA (400 nucleotides) under uncultured fungus. Its description in RNAcentral is "sequence contains ITS1". The stretch from base 1 to 104 matches the Rfam family "5.8S ribosomal RNA", at positions 50 to 154 of the family's 154-position model. Lineage: Eukaryota; Fungi. The record is from RNAcentral.